This 1275-nucleotide long non-coding RNA is filed under the name Coturnix japonica (Japanese quail). RNAcentral's name for it is "lncRNA (ENSCJPG00005003859.1)". The record is from RNAcentral. Lineage: Eukaryota; Metazoa; Chordata; Aves; Galliformes; Phasianidae.
GAGGCCGUGAGUCACCAUAGAUCCCUAUGGGACCCCCAUAGACCCCUAUAGGACCGCCCUUCUCCUAUAGACUCCUAUAGGUCCACCCCGCCCCAAUAGACCCCUAUAGAUCCCUAUAGGACUCCUGUAGGACCCUCCCGCCCCCACAGACCCCUAUAGGACCCCAUAGAUCCCUAUAGAACCCCCAUAGACCCUUAUGGAACCCCCAUAGACCCCUCUAGGACCCCCCUGCCCCCAUAGACCCCUAUAGGACCCCAUAGAUUCCUAUAGGACCCCCAUAGACCAUUAUGGGACCCCCAUAGACCCCUAUAGGACCCCAUAGAUCCCUAUAGGACCCCCAUAGACCCUUAUGGAACCCCCAGGACCAUAGGAAAAUAUGGGUCCUGGGGGGGAUAACGUGGGUGAGGGUGGAAAUAGGGUCUGGGGGCUUGGGGGCUUAGAACUGGGGGAACAACAUGGGUUGGGGGGCAGAACGGGGGCUUCAAGAAAGACAUUGUCAGGUUGGAGGCUGAACCAAAGGGACCUUAAAGUGCUCAUUCCUUGGGGGUCCACAUUAGGACCCAUUGGGGGUCCACGUUGGGCGCCCCCAGCCCUUUUUUGUGUCCCCCCCCCCGUUGGGCUGCGCUCCCUGCAAUGUCCAUGGCCGCCAGCAGUGCGCUAUAGCGCUGCGGCCGCCUGCAGUACCGGGGGCGUCCGCUGGGGGCGCUGUAACGGGGCGUCAAUGGCGUCUAUGUUUAAAGCGUGUGAUCCGGUCCGGUCCCGGUUCGGUUCCGGUUCGGUCCGCAGGAGGUUCGGGCGGCCGGAGGGAGGUGGCGUUCAGCUGCAGGUCGUAGAGGCCGCGCGACGUUUAGCGGCAGCCCGGGGCUGCCCCGAGCAGCGACGGCGCCGGCAGCGGCUGCAGGGAGAGGCGGCUCAAAGGCUGCGGCAGCUCCGGGCACAGCUGGACGAGAACGGCUCCGUGUGUGAGCUGCCCCCAUUGGAGAACGGGUGGGUCUGCUGUGUUCCCAUGGGCCCCAAUUGGGGGGGGGUGCUCUAAUUCCUAUUCGUUCUCUAUUCCCCCCCCCACUAGGUUCCCCCCGAAGCCCCCCCUGAGUGGGGCCGGACCGCCCCUCCCCCUCGGUCCGGCCCCCAUGCGGGCAGCCUCGCCGCAGACCUCCCCCCCUGGAGCUCGAGAGAGCCCCCCCCGGGGGGCCAGCCGCCGCAAUUCACUCGCCAGCCGCAGCCAGGUGAGACCCCCCCAAUAAAAACCCCCCUUAUAUCUAUGAAGCCCCUUCC